Molecule: ribosomal RNA, 406 nt
Filed under: uncultured bacterium
Lineage: Bacteria
Description: partial 16S ribosomal RNA
Rfam family: Bacterial small subunit ribosomal RNA
Source: RNAcentral
AUUGAACGCUGGCGGCAGGCCUAACACAUGCAAGUCGAGCGAGCGGCGGGGGGGAGUGUAGUGUGUGGAGAUCUGUGCGAGAGGGGGGGAUAACUAGUGGAAAGUGUGGCUAAUACCGCAUUCUCUCGGAUGCACACAUAUGGGAUUAGCUAGUAGGUGGGGUAAAGGCUCACCUAGGCGACGAUCUCUAGCUGGUCUGAGAGGAUGAUCAGCCACACUGGGACUGAGACACGGCCCAGACGCCUACGGGAGGCAGCAGUGGGGAAUAUUGCACAAUGGGCGCAAGCCUGAUGCAGCCAUGCCGCGUGUAUGAAGAAGGCCUUAGGGUUGUAAAGUACUUUCAGCGGGGAGGCGUUACCCGCAGAAGAAGCACCGGCUAACUCCGUGCCAGCAGCCGCGGUAAUUC